GGGGCAGCACUAAAGAGUUUACUCUUUAGGUGGCGACCGGCGGACGGGUGCGUAACGCGUAUGCACCUGCCUGACACAGGGGGAUAAUCCGAAGAAAUUUGGUCUAAUACCCCAUAAUUAGGCAUCUAGAAAGCUUUGGUGGUGUCAGAUGGGCAUGCGUUGUAUUAGCUAGUUGGUGAGGUAACGGCUCACCAAGGCGACGAUACAUAGGGGGGCUGAGAGGUUAACCCCCACACUGGUACUGAGACACGGACCAGACUCCUACGGGAGGCAGCAGUGAGGAAUAUUGGUCAAUGGGCGGAAGCCUGAACCAGCCAUGCCGCGUGCAGGAAGACGGCUUAUGAGUUGUAAACUGCUUUUGUACUAGGGUAAUUGCGGUACGUGUACCGUAUUGAAAGUAUAGUACGAAUAAGGAUCGGCUAACUCCGUGCCAGCAGCCGCGGUAAUACGGAGGAUCCAAGCGUUAUCCGGAUUUAUUGGGUUUAAAGGGUGCGUAGGCGGCAGAUUAAGUUAGAGGUGAAAUUCCGAGGCUCAACCUUGGCACUGCCUCUGAUACUGGUUUGCUAGCGAGUAGAUGCUGUAGGCGGAAUGUGUGGUGUAGCGGUGAAAUGCAUAGAGAUCACACAGAACACCGAUUGCGAAGGCAGCUUACAAAUCUAUAUCGGACGCUG
RNAcentral lists this ribosomal RNA (671 nucleotides) under uncultured bacterium. RNAcentral's name for it is "bacterial SSU rRNA". It matches the Rfam family "Bacterial small subunit ribosomal RNA", at positions 66 to 748 of the family's 1533-position model. The record is from RNAcentral.